This 759-nucleotide ribosomal RNA is filed under the name uncultured Tulasnellaceae. RNAcentral's name for it is "eukaryotic LSU rRNA". The stretch from base 185 to 759 matches the Rfam family "Eukaryotic large subunit ribosomal RNA", at positions 1 to 639 of the family's 3401-position model. The record is from RNAcentral. Lineage: Eukaryota; Fungi; Basidiomycota; Agaricomycetes; Cantharellales; Tulasnellaceae.
UUUUACAAAGGACCCGAGUUCGGAGUCCUCGGUCCUCUGGAUCGUGUUCUCUUAGAUGCGUCGCACCGAUCGCCUGAUGGGUCUCUAAUGCCUAAGCGUGGAGUUCCUUCAGAGUCCGAGACGUGCUUGACCGGGUGUUGAGCUCGUGUCACCAAGUCUGCCUCACAAGCAGUACUACAACGCAUGACCUCAUUGGGGUAGGACAACCCGCUAGACUUAAGCAUAUUAAUCAGCGGAGGAAAAGAAACUAACCAGGAUUCCCUUAGUAACUGCGAGUGAAGCGGGAUCGGCUCAAUGUGUGAAUCUGGCUUGGGGUACAUCCCGGGUCCGAGUUGUGCACUAUGGAUGCUUCGUCUGCGUUUGUAAAGGCGGUGGAAGUCCGUUGAAACACGGCACCUCAGAGGGUCACAGUCCUGUACCAUCCGUCUGCACUCGCGCCAAUGACAAGUGCUCCUUGAGUCGCGUAGUUUUGUAAUGCUGCGCCAAGUGGGAGGUAGAGACCUUCUAAGGCUAAAUAUGAUGACGUGACCGAUAGCACACAAGUACCGCGAGGGAAAGGUGAAAAGCAACCAUGAAAAAUGGGUUGAAACAGUAGUGAAAUCGCUACCGGGAUAAGGGCUAUCGGGUGCUGGGGCUCUUUGGGUGUGCUUUAGUGCUACCCUCGGAGACGGCCCGCGAGGGUUGAUGUUGGGGCGAUAGACGCGCUGCAGGAUUUCGGCUGCCUGUGGGCAGCUGUUGUAGCCUGCGGUGUGAUCCUCC